GUUACAGUAGACCGAAAAAUUAGAGACUCCGAGAAGUUAUCAAAUGCGCCGUCGUUGCGAUGGUAGUCGGAGAUUAUCUCUUCGGAUAGGGCUGCCGGCGGGGGGAGAAGAGGCCGACGGGCGGCGGUUUGACGCGGCGGAGCUCGGAGGCCUUUUCGGAGAGGCCCUUUGCGCCUCUUCGAGUACGCCCCGAUUCCCUCGGCCGAAGAGAUAAGCUCAGACUACUUCCACGGCCGCGGCGGCGGCGGCGGCGGUGGCGACGUGGUGCCGCCGAUGGGUGUGACUGGAUUGAGGGUGAGUGGGAUUCUUGGGCGACGGAGGAGGAGGACGUGGAGUCCCUGAUCGGCGAAGUAUGACCCCGUUCGUGAUUUCGUACGCAAAGAAAUUGGAAAGAUUAAGAAUUCGUCUGCGAUGAUCGGUGCUGGUGGCGAUUCCGGAGCUGGGUUCGGUUGUAAUUCUGAAAUUUUGGCCGAUAAAGAGAUGGGUUCGGUUUUUGAGAUCUUUAAAGCUCGUUGCCCGGCUCUCUUCGAGGACUGCAUUGGAGAUGGCGACGGUUUCUUGACUUUGCCGGAGAACUCGGCCGUCAGCGGUGGAAGCUCGGGAGAGGAGUCGAUGCUCCGGGAUCUUGAGGACUAUGGAUAUAAUCCUGACCACUUUCUUACACUUGAAGAUUUGGGUGUUCCUCUAUGUGAUGUAAAUGGGGAAUGCAUGUGAUUUUUCUUGUUAAACUGCAUAGUACAGAAUACAUGGGGUGCGUCGUGUUCAAAUUCAUCUCUUUUCAGAUGAGAAAAGCAUCAUUUAGUCAGUUGCUUGGUGGGUGAAGUAGGGAAUAGGAUGGAGAUUCAUGAUUUGUUGCUAGCUUGUGAAAGAGACGAACUUUGAUUUAGACUGUUAUUAUGGCGAUGAAUUGACUGUCUCGGAUGAUGAAUGGCAAUGCCAAUGAAUGCAGAGCUUUCCACUGUCUAUGGAGUAUUAUUGCUUAUGAGAUUGGAUAGUUUAUGGGACUAAUCAUCUGUUCAUUGAUGACUUCUUGUGGGAGAAACUUAGAAAAUGGUUUUGGAGACAGUGGUUCUAAAGGGAGACAAGGAGCUUGUCAGUACUCUUAGGGGCUUCAAUGUGUACGUCAACAUGGUCCUCGAGGAUGUUACUGAGUAUGAAUUCACUGCUGAAGGACAAAGGAUAACAAAACUCGAUCAGAUUUUGCUUGAUGGAAACAACAUAGUUAGUCCCUGGUGGCUCCCCUGAUCCGGAAUGAGUUGGAUUCAUCCUCUAACCCCAUUGGUUGAUUAUGUAGUUACUUUUAGUUGUUGGAAGUCCCAUCAGCAACAUCAUUCGAUUUUAUAACCCUCUUUUUAUGGGUUUAUGAAUCUGCAACCUUGGUCAAUUGAGCUCUUAUUUGAUUGAGCUCAUGCGUGAAUGUCUGAUGCAAAUAGCUCAACAGAUGGUGCAUGAUCACAUCAUCCUAUUAUCCAAUAUCUAUGUUUUACUCAACUAGAGGGUGUGACAGUUGUUGUCAUGCCUGGUGCAAAUUGUUCCUAGGUUUCAUCUUCCAGUGCAUUGUUAUUGAAGAACCUGUCUUGGCUUGUUUUAGUAUUCUACAGUUUUUGGCCA
Molecule: long non-coding RNA, 1611 nt
Organism: Eucalyptus grandis
Lineage: Eukaryota; Viridiplantae; Streptophyta; Magnoliopsida; Myrtales; Myrtaceae
Exons: 3
Source: RefSeq, a predicted model, not a curated record